GCUGAAGAACGUAGCGAAAUGCGAUAAGUAAUGUGAAUUGCAGAAUUCAGUGAAUCAUCGAAUCUUUGAACGCACAUUGCGCCCCCUGGUAUUCCGGGGGGCAUGUCUGUCCGAGCGUCAUUACAACCCUCAAGCUCAGCUUGGUGUUGGGCCCCGCCGCCCCGGCGGGCCCUAAAGUCAGUGGCGGUGCCGUCCGGCUCCGAGCGUAGUAAUUCUUCUCGCUCUGGAGGUCCGGUCGUGUGCUCGCCAGCAACCCCCAAUUUUUUUCAGGUUGACCUCGGAUCAGGUAGGGAUACCCGCUGAACUUAAGCAUAUCAAUAAGCGGAGGA
Molecule: unclassified non-coding RNA, 329 nt
Filed under: soil metagenome
Description: partial contains 5.8S ribosomal RNA, internal transcribed spacer 2, and large subunit ribosomal RNA
Rfam family: 5.8S ribosomal RNA (bases 3-120)
Source: RNAcentral